UUUUUUUUGCAAACUGAACUUGAGGUUCAAUUCCUACAAGCAAGCAAUUGAAACUUAAAUUCACAAGAAGGUUCGCAACUGCUUCUGCAUUGCCGGAUGCAACGUACACGAACAGGAGGUCCAGAAAACAAAGUCGUCGAAACAAGUGGCGUAGGCUAUGUACCAAAAGUAGUAGAAAAUUUAGGGCUAUGUACCAAAAGUAGUGGAAAAUUUGGUUCAAGACAUUCAAAAAGUUUGAAAAAUUCUUAUCUCAUAGUGAAUUGUUUUUCAUUUUCUAAUGAUUAUAUAUUAUCUUUUAUACUACUUUUUGUGUACAUAUAUCACACUCACUGUUUUUUGUAUACAUAUCACUAUCUCUGUUGAUAGCCUAAGCUGUCCCAUACGAAGUUCGGCGUACGUUAAUUUCAAAUUUUCAAUAGACAAGUCUCGCUGCAGAAAGUCGGUCUUCAAGGUUUAUCCAAAGUACUAUACAAUCCUCCACCAAACACAUUCAAGCAUUAAAAACCGACACAAUAACAUUAAAAAUCUACACAUUAACCAAUCCCAUUUCAAUUGCAGGGAUAGAACACAUGUUGAGUUAAAGCCAAUUUACAGGCGAGUUAAAACUUUACCAUCAGAAAAAUGAUAUACAGGUUACAUGAAGCAACUGGUACAAAAUUAGCAGAGAAGGUUAGAAACCUAAGAGGUUAUUCUACUGCAUCCAAAAUUGCCACCUGACAAAUACAGGCCAUGGUUACAUAAAAACACAGGCUGAGAGAACUCGGAUGCUGGGACUUCUCAUAAAACAUAUUCAGAACUGACAGGCAUCGUGUGAUAGUGAAUUACUAUGCCCCAACAGAAAGAUGCAUCCAGAAGAUGCACCACAUACUAUACAUACUUCUGAUCAGACCAAAGCUAAGAAACUAACAUCUACUUGCUAGCAUGGACCUGAACCUCUUAUCUGCAAUAAGACCGUCUGAUCACCUAGACAUAACCAAGCUUGUAAGAGGAGACACAACUGAAGAUUUGAAUAAAGAGCCUCUCAUGUACUUGCAGUUAUCAUCAACUUUUAUAGAUGCCGGAAACAAAAAUCUUUCACAAAAACCUGAUCCCACCACUGCCCGGGUGUGUUUACCCUCAGGAUCACUACAAUGCAGCCUAUGGACAGAGCUCCCACCACCACGUCUUCUCUUCCUUGAUGACUUCCACUUCAACUGGGCAAGCAAAUCAUCCUUUGCAAGAUCUAGAACUGGAUUCGAGUUUUUGAUCUUGUCAUCUCCAGAAUCUGAAAGAGAUUCACCAUGCUCAGUUUCAAUAUUAAAUUGCUGUCCACCAACGCAGAGAGUAGCUUGCACUGAGUUGCCAUCACAUGAUUUCUCCUCAUCUUGCUUUGUUCCCGAGCAACAUAAUAUAGAACUCACAACAUCAGAUCUUUCCUUUAUAAACAUCCACCCAUUUCCAAACCAUUCUUGAGAAUGUCUCAAGUCACCACGGCUGAAGAUUGAUUUUUGCUUUUCUCCUGCAAAAAUAUGAGAAGAAAAUAAAACAAAUUUGUGUAAUAAAGAUGAGUGAUAAUUUUUUUUGCAAACUGAACUUGAGGUUCAAUUCCUACAAGCAAGCAAUUGAAACUUAAAUUCACAAGAAGGUUCGCAACUGCUUCUGCAUUGCCGGAUGCAACGUACACGAACAGGAGGUCCAGAAAACAAAGUCGUCGAAACAAGUGGCGUAGGCUAUGUACCAAAAGUAGUAGAAAAUUUAGGGCUAUGUACCAAAAGUAGUGGAAAAUUUGGUUCAAGACAUUCAAAAAGUUUGAAAAAUUCUUAUCUCAUAGUGAAUUGUUUUUCAUUUUCUAAUGAUUAUAUAUUAUCUUUUAUACUACUUUUUGUGUACAUAUAUCACACUCACUGUUUUUUGUAUACAUAUCACUAUCUCUGUUGAUAGCCUAAGCUGUCCCAUACGAAGUUCGGCGUACGUUAAUUUCAAAUUUUCAAUAGACAAGUCUCGCUGCAGAAAGUCGGUCUUCAAGGUUUAUCCAAAGUACUAUACAAUCCUCCACCAAACACAUUCAAGCAUUAAAAACCGACACAAUAACAUUAAAAAUCUACACAUUAACCAAUCCCAUUUCAAUUGCAGGGAUAGAACACAUGUUGAGUUAAAGCCAAUUUACAGGCGAGUUAAAACUUUACCAUCAGAAAAAUGAUAUACAGGUUACAUGAAGCAACUGGUACAAAAUUAGCAGAGAAGGUUAGAAACCUAAGAGGUUAUUCUACUGCAUCCAAAAUUGCCACCUGACAAAUACAGGCCAUGGUUACAUAAAAACACAGGCUGAGAGAACUCGGAUGCUGGGACUUCUCAUAAAACAUAUUCAGAACUGACAGGCAUCGUGUGAUAGUGAAUUACUAUGCCCCAAC
This 2390-nucleotide long non-coding RNA is filed under the name Citrus sinensis (sweet orange). RNAcentral's name for it is "long non-coding RNA (CSIN_LNC002924)". The record is from RNAcentral. Lineage: Eukaryota; Viridiplantae; Streptophyta; Magnoliopsida; Sapindales; Rutaceae.